UGGGGAAUUUUGGACAAUGGGGGAAACCCUGAUCCAGCCAUCCCGCGUGUGCGAUGAAGGCCUUCGGGUUGUAAAGCACUUUUGGCAGGAAAGAAACGUCAUGGGUUAAUACCCCGUGAGACUGACGGUACCUGCAGAAUAAGCACCGGCUAACUACGUGCCAGCAGCCGCGGUAAUACGUAGGGUGCAAGCGUUAAUCGGAAUUACUGGGCGUAAAGCGUGCGCAGGCGGUUCGGAAAGAAAGAUGUGAAAUCCCAGAGCUCAACUUUGGAACUGCAUUUUUAACUACCGGGCUAGGGGGUGUCAGAGGGAGGUGGAAUUCCGCGUGUAGCAGUGAAAUGCGUAGAUAUGCGGAGGAACACCGAUGGCGAAGGCAGCCUCCUGGGAUAACACUGACGCUCAUGCACGAAAGCGUGGGGAGCAAACAGG
This 429-nucleotide ribosomal RNA is filed under the name Acidobacteriota bacterium. RNAcentral describes it as "Acidobacteria bacterium partial 16S ribosomal RNA". It matches the Rfam family "Bacterial small subunit ribosomal RNA", at positions 355 to 776 of the family's 1533-position model. The record is from RNAcentral. Lineage: Bacteria; Pseudomonadati; Acidobacteriota.